Vicia villosa (hairy vetch) is the source of this 1581-nucleotide long non-coding RNA. RefSeq lists it as uncharacterized. The transcript has 3 exons. NCBI's taxonomy places the organism in Eukaryota, Viridiplantae, Streptophyta, Magnoliopsida, Fabales, Fabaceae. The record is from RefSeq and is a predicted model, not a curated record.
UUGAGAUUUGGGAAUAGGGUUGUACCUGAUUUGUGACUAUUGAGUUUCCGCGUUCAUCUUCCUCUCUUAACGAGUUCAGCGGCGUGGUGAGCUUCGCUCUCCUCUCCGAUCCAAAAAAUUACAGCGCUGCCGUGAACCUCCUUGCUUCAAUCAUCACCUCUCCGUCUCUCAAUCCAACUCUCCAUCUUGAUUCAGCCUUAGACAUGAUUACGAACCCUAAGGCGAAGACCAGAGUUUAAGAGAAGGAAGUCCCGCGGUGAGAUGAAUACGAUGACUCUCGUGAAGUAAACGCGACGAAGAAGGAGAGGACCUCAGUCUCAGGCGUUAUGCAGUGUUAUUGAGAUGAAGAUUGAUGCGUUUGUGAGGAUGAGUUGAUUCAAGGUUGUUGCGGUCAGAAGAGAUGAAGAUGAUGAGAAUUCAUGGAGAUUGGUGAAGAUGAUGAAUCAAGAGAAUGAAGAUUGAGGAUGAAGGGAAAGGGAGCAGAGAAGGUCGAGAUGGGAGAGAUUGUAGAUAGUUCUUGAAGGUGUUUGAAGAUGCUUAUGAAGAAUGGAGAUUGAAGAUAAAGGUGAGCUCAGAAGGGAUGGAAGAGGAUGAUUGAAGAUGAUGAUGGUUAGCAAGGUCAAGAAGAUGGUUUUAGGAAGAGAAGGAAAAUGGUGAAGUGAAGAUUAGAGGAAGAUGAAUGUAGUGUGAAAUUGGUGGAGAGAGUGAUUUGAUGAAGAGGAUAAAAAUGGUGGAGGAGAAGAAGUAGUGGAGAUGAAGAAUGGGAGUGAAGUGAAGAUGGUGAUGAUGAAUGGUUGCUGAGUUUCUAGGAAGAAUGAAUCGAAAGAGAGUGAGAAGUGAAGUGGAGUGUGGUUGAAGAGUGUGAAGAUUGAAUGGAUCGAGAGAGCCAAAUGAUGAAGCAAGCUUUGAUUUUAUAGAAGUGGAGGAGAUUGAAUUUCUGAGGUACAAACUGAUCUCUCAACUGAUGGCAGAUUGCUUUUCAUGGUGAUAUCAGUUGUCAUAAUAAGCUGGGAGCUUUUUGAUACCGUUCUGUGCCGAAUCAUCCGAAUCAGUUUAUCAGGUGGUGUUGAACCGUUUUUCUACUGCAUAGCCUUAGUUUACAAAUGUCGUAUUUUUAGUCAUGUGGAUUCACUUGGUUUUAGACCUGAACAUGGCAUGUGCACGAAUUUGACUUGCUUGAAUCUUUUCCUUUUCUGUACUUUGGUUUGAUUUGGUAGGCUUACUGUAUGAACAUGACAGGUUUGGACAUGAUUUUGUAUGGUUUAUUUGGUAAUAAUUAUGUGGUUAGAGUGUUUAUGUAUGUAUGAUAUGGGGCUGUUUUUCUUUUAUGCAGGAUAUUAACAAAUGGAGAUGAGGACAGUGGCUACAGACUUGGUACAAAGAGUUUAGCAUGAGGACUUAUUGGCAAACAAUGAAAAUGGAGUGGAAUUGUCAGGAUUAAUAUAGGGAUAGUUAGAGACUUAGGUUAACCUAGGCUAAAAUAUGUAUUGUUGUAGCCUUUUUCAAUGCAAGAUGUAAUGGACAUGUUUCUUUUUUUGGAUUUUGUAACGAACAACUUUUGGGUUUUAAUGUGAUCUUUGA